GUGGGGAAUUUUGCGCAAUGGGGGAAACCCUGACGCAGCAACGCCGCGUGGAGGAUGAAGUACUUCGGUACGUAAACUCCUUUCGAUCGGGACGAUAAUGACGGUACCGAGAGAAGAAGCCCCGGCUAACUUCGUGCCAGCAGCCGCGGUAAUACGAGGGGGGCGAGCGUUGUUCGGAAUUAUUGGGCGUAAAGGGUGCGUAGGCGGUUUGGUAAGUCUUGUGUGAAAUCUAUGGGCUCAACUCAUAGUCUGCACGAGAAACUGCCGGGCUUGAGUAUGGGAGAGGUGAGUGGAAUUCCUGGUGUAGCGGUGAAAUGCGUAGAUAUCAGGAGGAACACCUGUGGCGAAAGCGGCUCACUGGACCAUAACUGACGCUGAUGCACGAAAGCUAGGGGAGCAAACAGGAUUAGAUACCCCUGUAGUCC
RNAcentral lists this ribosomal RNA (425 nucleotides) under uncultured bacterium. RNAcentral's name for it is "bacterial SSU rRNA". It matches the Rfam family "Bacterial small subunit ribosomal RNA", at positions 354 to 796 of the family's 1533-position model. The record is from RNAcentral.